ACGCUCGACACCUACGAGAGGCAGCAGUUAGGAAUAUUGGGCAAUGGAGGAAACUCUGACCCAGCAACGCCGCGUGAAGGAAGAAGGUUUUCGGAUUGUAAACUUCUGAUCUAGGGGAAGAAGGAAGUGACGGUACCCUAGGAGAAAGCCACGGCUAACUACGUGCCAGCAGCCGCGGUAAUCUGAGCGGGCUGGCAAGGC
This 201-nucleotide ribosomal RNA is filed under the name uncultured bacterium. RNAcentral describes it as "partial 16S ribosomal RNA". It matches the Rfam family "Bacterial small subunit ribosomal RNA", at positions 328 to 539 of the family's 1533-position model. The record is from RNAcentral.